GCUUGUCUCAAAGAUUAAGCCAUGCAUGUCUAAGUAUAAGCACUUAUACCGUGAAACUGCGAAUGGCUCAUUACAUCAGUUAUAGUUUAUUUGAUAGUCCCCACUACUUGGAUAACCGUAGUAAUUCUAGAGCUAAUACAUGCACAAAAUCCCGACUUACGAAGGGAUGUAUUUAUUAGAUGGAAACCAAUGCGGGGCAACCCGGAUUAUGGUGAUUCAUAAUAACUUUCAGAUCGAUCGCAAGAUCGAUGCAUCAUUCAAGUUUCUGCCCUAUCAGCUUUGGAUGGUAGGGUAUUGGCCUACCAUGGCUUUAACGGGUAACGGAGAAUUAGGGUUCGAUUCCGGAGAGGGAGCCUGAGAAAUGGCUACCACAUCCAAGGAAGGCAGCAGG
This 391-nucleotide ribosomal RNA is filed under the name uncultured Chrysophyceae. RNAcentral describes it as "partial small subunit ribosomal RNA". It matches the Rfam family "Eukaryotic small subunit ribosomal RNA", at positions 30 to 432 of the family's 1831-position model. The record is from RNAcentral. Lineage: Eukaryota; Chrysophyceae.